GAAAACGACUGCUAAGACUGGAUAGGAAACAAAAAGGCAUCUUUUUGUUUUUAAAAGACCUUCUUCGGAGGGUAUGCUUAAAGAGGGGCUUGCGCCACAUUAGUUAGUUGGUAAGGUAAAGGCUUACCAAGAUUAUGAUGUGUAGCUGGACUGAGAGGUUGAACAGCCACAUUGGGACUGAGACACGGCCCAAACUCCUACGGGAGGCAGCAGUAGGGAAUUUUCGGCAAUGGAGGAAACUCUGACCGAGCGACGCCGCGUGAACGAUGAAGUAUUUCGGUAUGUAAAGUUCUUUUAUUGAAGAAGAAAAAAUAGUGGAAAAACUAUCUUGACGUUAUUCAAUGAAUAAGCCCCGGCUAACUAUGUGCCAGCAGCCGCGGUAAGACAUAGGGGGCGAGCGUUAUCCGGAAUUAUUGGGCGUAAAGGGUGCGUAGGCGGUUAGAUAAGUCUAUAAUUUAAUUUCAGUGCUUAACGCUGUCUUGUUAUAGAAACUAUCUUGACUAGAGUGAGAUAGAGGCAAGCGGAAUUCCAUGUGUAGCGGUAAAAUGUGUAAAUAUAUGGAGGAACACCAGAAGCGUAGGCGGCUUGCUGGGUCUUUACUGACGCUGAGGCACGAAAGCGUGGGGAGCAAACAGGAUUAGAUACCCUGGUAGUCCACGCUGUAAGCGAUGAGUACUAAGUGUCGGGGGUAACUCGGUACUGAAGUUAACACAUUAAGUACUCCGCCUGAGUAGUACGUACGCAAGUAUGAAACUUAAAGGAAUUGACGGGACUCCGCACAAGCGGUGGAUCAUGUUGUUUAAUUCGAAGAUACACGAAAAACCUUACCAGGUCUUGACAUACUCUGCAAAGCUAUAGAAAUAUAGUGGAGGUUAUCAGGGAUACAGGUGGUGCAUGGUUGUCGUCAGUUCGUGUCGUGAGAUGUUAGGUUAAGUCCUAAAACGAACGCAACCCCUGUCGCUAGUUGCCAGCACGUAAUGGUGGGGACUUUAGCGAGACUGCCAAUUAAAAAUUGGAGGAAGGUGGGGAUAACGUCAAAUCAUCAUGCCCCUUAUGAUCUGGGCUACAAACGUGAUACAAUGGCUAUUACAAAGAGUAGCUGAAACGCGAGUUUUUAGCCAAUCUCAAAAAGGUAGUCUCAGUACGGAUUGAAGUCUGCAACUCGACUUCAUGAAGCUGGAAUCGCUAGUAAUCGCGAAUCAGCAUGUCGCGGUGAAUACGUUCACGGGGUUUGUACACACCGCCCGUCA
Molecule: ribosomal RNA, 1250 nt
Filed under: Candidatus Phytoplasma rubi
Lineage: Bacteria; Bacillati; Mycoplasmatota; Mollicutes; Acholeplasmatales; Acholeplasmataceae
Description: bacterial SSU rRNA
Rfam family: Bacterial small subunit ribosomal RNA
Source: RNAcentral